UUGACCUCAAAUCGGGUGAGACUACCCGCUGAACUUAAGCAUAUCAAUAAGCGGAGGAAAAGAAACUAACAAGGAUUCCCCUAGUAACUGCGAGUGAAGCGGGAAAAGCUCAAAUUUAAAAUCUGGUGGCCUCUGGUCACCCGAGUUGUAAUUUAGAGAAGCGUCUUCCGCACUGGACCAUGCACAAGUCUCCUGGAAUGGAGCGUCAUAGAGGGUGAGAAUCCCGUCUUUGGCAUGGAUGCACCAGGGCUUUUGUGAUGCGCUCUCGAAGAGUCGAGUUGUUUGGGAAUGCAGCUCAAAAUGGGUGGUGAACUCCAUCUAAAGCUAAAUAUUGGCGAGAGACCGAUAGCGAACAAGUACCGUGAGGGAAAGAUGAAAAGCACUUUGGAAAGAGAGUGAAACAGUACGUGAAAUUGUUGAAAGGGAAACGCUUGAAGUCAGUCGCGUCGACCGAGACUCAGCCUCGCCUUGGCUUGGUGUACUUCUCGGCCGACGGGUCAGCAUCAAUUUUGCCCCUCGGAUAAUGGCAAGGGAAAGGUAGCACCUUUACAGGUGUGUUAUAGUCUCCUGUCGCAUGCGAGGGUCGGGAUUGAGGAACUCAGCACGCGCCUCUCGGCGUCGGGGCCCUUUGGCCCACGCUUACGUGCUUAGGAUGCUGGCAUAAUGGCUUUAAACGACCCGUCUUGAAACACGGACCAAGGAGUCUAACAUGCCCGCGAGUGUUCGGGUGGAAAACCCGUGCGCGUAAUGAAAGUAAAAGUUGGGACCUCCGUCGUGGGGGGCACCGACGCCCGGACCAGACCUUCUGUGACGGAUCUGCGGUAGAGCGUGUAUGUUGGGACCCGAAAGAUGGUGAACUAUGCCUGAAUAGGGUGAAGCCAGAGGAAACUCUGGUGGAGGCUCGUAGCGAUUCUGACGUGCAAAUCGAUCGUCAAAUUUGGGUAUAGGGGCGAAAGACUAAUCGAACCAUCUAGUAGCUGGUUCCUGC
RNAcentral lists this ribosomal RNA (988 nucleotides) under Russula sp. RNAcentral describes it as "partial large subunit ribosomal RNA". It matches the Rfam family "Eukaryotic large subunit ribosomal RNA", at positions 1 to 961 of the family's 3401-position model. The record is from RNAcentral. Lineage: Eukaryota; Fungi; Basidiomycota; Agaricomycetes; Russulales; Russulaceae.